GUGCUUGCUUCAGCAGUGCAUAUACUAAAAUUGGAACAAUACAGAGAAGAUUAGCAUGACCUCUGUGCAAGGAUGACACACAAAUUCAUGAAGCAUUCCAUGUUUUU
RNAcentral lists this small nuclear RNA (107 nucleotides) under Carlito syrichta (Philippine tarsier). Lineage: Eukaryota; Metazoa; Chordata; Mammalia; Primates; Tarsiidae. The record is from RNAcentral.